This is a long non-coding RNA of Ixodes scapularis (black-legged tick), 414 nucleotides long. RefSeq lists it as uncharacterized. NCBI's taxonomy places the organism in Eukaryota, Metazoa, Arthropoda, Arachnida, Ixodida, Ixodidae. The transcript has 3 exons. The record is from RefSeq and is a predicted model, not a curated record.
UCCCGCCGCGCGGGAAUGUGCUUCGCGCGAGUACUUGGAAACGUGUCUGCGUCGCGAUGCCUUCUUUUCACUCGUCUACGAGUGUAGCAUGCACCGACAUGUCUUCGGGCCUGGACAAAUUUCGUUUCCAAACGCCGGCGUCAAUCACGAUGAUUGGAUCCUCUAAAUCGGCCAAAAAUGACGAUAGUGGUGUGGAGGAUGACUAUGUGGACAGCGAAUAACAGCUGAUACUUCGUGUCACCUCCUCAACGCAUUCGGUAUGACAUCUGUCGGUCCAGGCUGGACAGGAUCCCCCACAAAGCUGCGCCUGCCAAAAGAGCGUUCCCGGAAGCAAGCGAUCUUCAUAUCCUCAUCGCACGCCCUGACUUUGUGAUUAGUUUUUAGACUGUGUACCGCAUUGCUCGCGAGAUGUCA